RNAcentral lists this ribosomal RNA (626 nucleotides) under uncultured bacterium. RNAcentral's name for it is "bacterial SSU rRNA". The stretch from base 1 to 542 matches the Rfam family "Bacterial small subunit ribosomal RNA", at positions 338 to 873 of the family's 1533-position model. The record is from RNAcentral.
CCUACGGGAGGCAGCAGUGGGGAAUUUUGGACAAUGGGCGCAAGCCUGAUCCAGCCAUGCCGCGUGUGGGAAGAAGGCCUUCGGGUUGUAAACCACUUUUGUCAGGGAAGAAACGGUCUGAACUAAUACUUUGGACUAAUGACGGUACCUGAAGAAUAAGCACCGGCUAACUACGUGCCAGCAGCCGCGGUAAUACGUAGGGUGCAAGCGUUAAUCGGAAUUACUGGGCGUAAAGCGUGCGCAGGCGGCUUUGCAAGACAGAUGUGAAAUCCCCGGGCUCAACCUGGGAACUGCAUUUGUGACUGCAUGGCUAGAGUACGGUAGAGGGGGAUGGAAUUCCGCGUGUAGCAGUGAAAUGCGUAGAUAUGCGGAGGAACACCGAUGGCGAAGGCAAUCCCCUGGACCUGUACUGACGCUCAUGCACGAAGGCGUGGGGAGCAAACAGGAUUAGAUACCCUGGUAGUCCACGCCCUAAACGAUGUCAACUGGUUGUUGGGAGGGUUUCUUCUCAGUAACGAAGCUAACGCGUGAAGUUGACCGCCUGGGGAGGUACGGCCGCGAGUAGAACGUACGAAAGAAGUAGACGGCGUGAGACGUAGACCGACGGACGACGACGAGGGAGGAGG